RNAcentral lists this ribosomal RNA (301 nucleotides) under uncultured bacterium. RNAcentral describes it as "partial 16S ribosomal RNA". It matches the Rfam family "Bacterial small subunit ribosomal RNA", at positions 509 to 807 of the family's 1533-position model. The record is from RNAcentral.
CAGCCGCCACGGGAAUACGGAGGGAGCUAGCGUUGUUCGGAAUUACUGGGCGUAAAGCGCACGUAGGCGGUUAUUCGAGUCAGAGGUGAAAGCCCGGGGCUCAACCCCGGAACUGCCUUUGAAACUAGAUGACUGGAAUCUUGGAGAGGUCAGUGGAAUUCCGAGUGUAGAGGUGAAAUUCGUAGAUAUUCGGAAGAACACCAGUGGCGAAGGCGACUGACUGGACAAGUAUUGACGCUGAGGUGCGAAAGCGUGGGGAGCAAACAGGAUUAGAUACCCGUGUAGUCCCUGUCUCUUAUAC